AAUAGAUACCCCGGUAGUCCUGGCAGUAAACGGUGCACGUUUGGUGUGGGAGGAUUCGACCCCUUCCGUGCCGGAGCUAACGCGUUAAACGUGCCGCCUGGGGAGUACGGUCGCAAGAUUAAAACUCAAAGAAAUUGACGGGGGCCCGCACAAGCGGUGGAGUAUGUGGCUUAAUUCGAUGCAACGCGAAGAACCUUACCUGGCCUUGACAUGGUGGGAUUAGGCGGAUGAAAGUCUGCCGAUUGCCCGCAAGGGUGUAACCAUCACAGGUGCUGCAUGGCUGUCGUCAGCUCGUGUCGUGAGAUGUUGGGUUAAGUCCCGCAACGAGCGCAACCCUUGUGAACUGUUGCCACCCCUCUUUCGGGAGGCGCACUCUGUUCAGACUGCCCUGUUAAACGGGGAGAAGGUGAGGAUGACGUCAAGUCAGUAUGGCCCUUAGGCCAGGGCUGCACACGUACUACAAUGCCCAGUACAGAAUGAACCGAUACCGCGAGGUGGAGGAAAUCUAUAAAACUGGGCCCAGUUCGGAUUGGAGG
Molecule: ribosomal RNA, 536 nt
Filed under: uncultured bacterium
Lineage: Bacteria
Description: bacterial SSU rRNA
Rfam family: Bacterial small subunit ribosomal RNA
Source: RNAcentral